UAAAGUAGUGAGAUCAUGAAUCUUCGGUCCGACGAACAAUAGUGACGGAUGACACCGGAAUCAAAUCAAACACGGAAGGAAAAACAGGACACUUUGAGAUCUGAUUUUUCCAACAAAAAUCAAUAGCUAAAUCAUGAAAAUCUCAGUCUAAAAUUCAAGAAGAAAUCAAGGAGAAAAUUUCUUAAGAGACUGAUGCAACCUAUAGCGCAGUGAUCAUUGGGAAAGA
RNAcentral lists this long non-coding RNA (226 nucleotides) under Elaeis guineensis (African oil palm). RNAcentral's name for it is "long non-coding RNA (EGUI_LNC031677)". Lineage: Eukaryota; Viridiplantae; Streptophyta; Magnoliopsida; Arecales; Arecaceae. The record is from RNAcentral.